CAAAGCUGAAAUGAGAAAAACAGGGAGAUUGAUGGCAUGAGAAGAAAUGAAAGAGGUCGUUUAGUAGGAUGGAGAAGAGAGGAGAGGAAAGAAGGAGGCAAACCACACUUUUCUCCUCCUGGCUUAGAGUUUACCGAGGGGAGAGUCUUCAAUAUUGGCUGAAGCAAUGAAUGGCUCCUUGUGACUGUGUUCAAACUCACCGCAGACGUGCCAUGAGGAGAAGCUGGGAGCUCAGCAGACACGAAGAUGAUGCAGAUCACUAAGGUCAUCCUGCCAACGCUUUCACUCCGUGCCCUUGUCACUCUUGUCUAAAAUCUAAAGGUGACUGUGCCUUUGCUGUUACUGCCUCCAGGCUUUGGAAUUGACUGCCAGCCCACAUGAAGACCUCUCCAACAAUUGACAGUUUUAACUAAAGAUCUGCGUAUUUUCACUUGCUUUAUUCAAGUCUGUCAAGUCCAGUGUGAAUGUUUUCUCACUGCGCUUUCUUUUUAAAACUGGUGUUUCUAUUGUUAGCUUUAUUUUAGGUAUUAAUUUGUAUAUAUCACAUUUCGCAUCAUCAUAUCACAUCCUUGUUAUUUUUGCUCUGCCUUUCAUUUUUUUUCAUCACAUUAUUUGCUCAAGUGAGUUUUAUGUUUUGUAAUUGAGGUUUUUUUUAGACUUGAAAUGUAAAUGUGUCUGCCUGGAAAGUGCUGUGGGUCAACUCCAGUUGAUUUAAAUGUGCUAUGUAAAUAGAAGCGACU
Oreochromis niloticus (Nile tilapia) is the source of this 740-nucleotide long non-coding RNA. RefSeq lists it as uncharacterized. The transcript is spliced from 3 exons. Lineage: Eukaryota; Metazoa; Chordata; Actinopteri; Cichliformes; Cichlidae. The record is from RefSeq and is a predicted model, not a curated record.